GCGAAUGGCUCAUUACAACAGCUAUAAUUUACUUGUUCUAUUCCUUUAAACGGAUAACUGCGGUAAUUCUGGAGCCAAUACGUGCUAAAAGCCGAAUUCAGCAAUGAGUUCGGUGCACUUAUCGGAGCAAAACCCUUCCUGGUUUUAUGCUAACUCUGGAUAACACUGCUUAUCGCACGACCUCGUGUCGGCGAAGUUACAUUCAAGUAUCUGCCUUAUCAACUUUCGAUGGUAGUGUAUUGGACUGCCAUGGUGUUGACGGGUAACGGAGAAUCAGGGUUCGACUCCGGAGAGGGAGCCUUAGAAACGGCUACCAUGUCUAAGGACAGCAGCAGGCGCGCAACUUAUCCACUGUUCAUUGAACGAGAUAGUGACGAGAAAUAACAAGAUCUAUUCCUUCGGGGAUGGAUCAUUGGAAUGGUUUGAUUUUAAAAUCAUUAAAGAGUAUCAAUGAGAGGGCAAGUCUGGUGCCAGCAGCCGCGGUAAUUCCAGCU
This 494-nucleotide ribosomal RNA is filed under the name Aprutides guidetti. RNAcentral describes it as "SSU rRNA". It matches the Rfam family "Eukaryotic small subunit ribosomal RNA", at positions 89 to 590 of the family's 1831-position model. The record is from RNAcentral. Lineage: Eukaryota; Metazoa; Nematoda; Chromadorea; Rhabditida; Seinuridae.